UCAAAAAAUAUGGCCUUUUAUUGUCUUGGAUGCAAAUAUAGUUUUCAAACUGCAUUGUAGUGUUGAAUACAGCUGGUGGAAAGGUGCUUCUCAACAGCGGAGCAUAAACAGCCUUGCUCUGGAUGGCGCAGGCCUGAGGCUUGGGGCCUCCGGUGAGCAAGACUCUUCUUGGGUUUUGUUUUUCUGCCCACGAGGGGUGACUGUUUGCUACAGAAGCCCUGACACAGUCACCGGAGCUCACAAGAGAAAAAAAUGAACCAUUUACACAAUGAACUGAAAGCAGAAAAAGGAAAAGAACGUGCUGUUUCAGCUGUGGCGUUACAGAAGAAGCCCACAAACACGAGUGUGAACAGAUUCAGAUAAAGCAGCAGCAAGGGCGCCGAGGGAGGGGCCUCGUGCCAGUUCCCUCGGGGACACACAGCCUCGGCUCCAUGUCUCCUACCUUUUAACUGCAGGAAGGAAACUUUAUGGAAAUGUAUCGAACUUCAGUUUCUCCCAACCCUCUCCACCACCUCAACUCUUGAGGAUGGCACCUCUCUGUUCACAUACCCAGGAGAGAAUUCUUCCAAUUAGCGACACCCAGGGUUGACUCUGGAACCAAAAGGUUGACUGGGAGAUAAAAGCGAAUUUUGCUACAUAAUUGUCAAGGUAUUUCACAAAAAUAAAAUCCAUUAAAAACACCCACAAACACGCACACACACACACACACACAGAGCCAACAUUCAACAGGAAAAGUUCCCUUUUCUUUCUCAAAGGCUGAUUUUUACAAGCCUCGACAGGAACGGCCCCCACGUGGUGAGCUGGGAAAGCCAAGGCCUCAAAAGGGAAAGACAAUGGGGCAGGUGAUGGAGGGGAUGUGGUGAAAAUCUUUAAUAUACAAGGCAUCAGGGACAUCGAGCCAAAAACCAUGGCCCACCACUGCUGCGCACCCACCUCAGGGCUCGCCAGCUCCCUUCCUCGUUGUCAAGGCCACUGCAGAGGAAGCACUUUGCAAAGUGGCUCCGACAAGCAGCAGACCGGGCGGGUUUCACCUGCAGCAAAUCAAUCAGCGGAAGCAAGGCAUCUCUAGGGAAAGGCAAUUCCUCCACCAGAGAGAGGAGAGCAGCUAUACUCAGCUUAGUUAGGGGCCUGGGGCCGUGAGAGAGACAAAAGACGCAGGCAGAGCUAGAUGACCAUGGGAGGGGAAGAGCAUAGGGGUGCUGUGCCAAGGCUGCC
RNAcentral lists this long non-coding RNA (1215 nucleotides) under Sus scrofa (pig). RNAcentral describes it as "lncRNA (ENSSSCG00050003957.1, ENSSSCG00060019854.1, ENSSSCG00150044320.1)". Lineage: Eukaryota; Metazoa; Chordata; Mammalia; Artiodactyla; Suidae. The record is from RNAcentral.